GAUCCCAACUUUUAAAACAUGCUGCAGAAAUCCUAUGAACCUGGAUCGCCAACCGUUCCUACCCAUCUAUGGCUAUCUUGGUUUUCCACAAGGUUACGUUUUUUAUCCCCAAGGCUUCCCAUUUUACUCUCAAGGCUAUUCUGAAGAACAAUCUAACUAUUGGAAUCCAUCUAAUCCUGUCAUGAACAGCUACCCUAAUUUAGUUGUCCCAGAACCUUUCCCUGGACAACCUUUGUUUCCUGCCCAACCACAAAUUGGAUAUGUUCCCUCUGUUCUUUAUAGUCCUCAAAAUUAUGCAGGCUCUGCAUUGUCUCCCCUGCCACAAUAUGUCCUUCCUCCCUUGGUACAACGUGCCCCUUCUACCUUUGCGUACCGUGCCCGUCCUGCCCUUCCACCCCGUG
Non-coding RNA from Pseudonaja textilis, 401 nucleotides. The record is from RefSeq and is a predicted model, not a curated record. Lineage: Eukaryota; Metazoa; Chordata; Lepidosauria; Squamata; Elapidae.